RNAcentral lists this long non-coding RNA (1894 nucleotides) under Rattus norvegicus (Norway rat). RNAcentral's name for it is "long non-coding RNA NONRATT002943". The record is from RNAcentral. Lineage: Eukaryota; Metazoa; Chordata; Mammalia; Rodentia; Muridae.
CACAUCAACUGAGUUUCCCAGUUUCUUGUGUUCUGGAACAAGAACUGGACCAGGGACACAUGGAUGGUGAAGAAAGAAAGGAAGAAAAGAAAAAUACCCCCCAGAAUGAGAGUGUGCCCAAGGACUAGGAAAGUCUAAGUCUGAAAAGCCUUGGACCAAGGUCUCUGCUCUUUAUAGGACCUCCAUCUUUUCUAGCAAGUAGGGAAGGCAGGGCUUUGUUUUUAAAGCAUGCAGUUUAGUUAUGCAUAGAUCUGUUGGAGAGGUUUCCAGUCUUCCUUUGGGAUUGGUUUUUGUUUAUUUGCCUCUAGAAUUUCCUAUUCUUCUACCUCACUUUACCCCAUCCUCAGAGCUGUGGUUCCAAAAAUCUCUUUGAGGCGCUAAAGGAUGAUAAUCUGUUUUGUAUAAUUUCCAUGUUAAUGAGGGAUGUAGUCUUUGCCAAAGAGAGACCAAAGCUCGACUCCUAUUUUAUCCAGUGGUUGGAGAGGAGGCUUUGGAGUUUUUGUUUUGGGAGUCGGCUUAAAUCCUUGUAUCAUAAUGAUAAAUUGUACAUGGUUUCUUAAAAAUGUUAAGAAUUUGGGCAUGGUUUAGCAUUUAAGAGCACCAAUUGCGGGGUUGGGGAUUUAGCUCAGUGCUAGAGCACUUGCCUAGCAAGCGCAAGCCCUGGGUUCGGUCCCCAGCUCCGAAAAAAAAAGAAAAAAAAAAAAGAAAAGGAAAAAGAAAAAAAAGAGCACCAAUUGCCCUUGCAGGAACCUUGAGUCUGAUUCUUAGCACCUACAUGGUAACUCACAACCAUCCGAAACUGUAGCUUCUAAGGAUGUCACAACUUUUUCUGACAUACGCAGGCACCAGACAUGCACACGAUACACAUACAGAUGUAAGAAAAACAUCCAUAUACCUAAAAUAAAUAAAUUUUUUUAAAAAUUGUCAAUGCAAGAAUAAUAUGAUUAUUUCAACCAUUAGUCCCAGAAAGGACCAGAGUCAGGCAACCCAUAGCUAUAUAUGCUUAUGUAGAUAUGGUCCUUUAGACUGUUAAAACAAGAACCCAAACAAAACAAAAUCCACAAACAAAAACCAAACUGAUUGUGGCAAAAUACAAAAAGAACAAUUUGUAGAAAAAAAUGCAGUACUGGAAUCUAUUAAGGAGAAGGAAGUGUGGGAUUGUGACCAUAGAGUACCAACGGUGCCAAAAGAAAAAAUGGAAAACCAAAGCAUACGGUUAUAAGUACUGAUUGUUAAUUUGCCUUUAAGAAGUUAAAGCAUCCUGUUAUUGUCUAAAGAGAUCCUUUAAAUCCUUCAGCCUUUUAAUGUAGGUAGCCUGUCUUUAAGAUAUUCUUGAGGCUAUGGACUUGGGUCUGUGGACACUGGUGCACCUCCUUAGAAGGACCUCCAACAGGUUAUAUCCUGUCUCCAAACAGCUAGUGCCCUUCUUUAGCCAACUAGUAUCCUGUCAGAACAGUAUAUUGUCUCUGCCCAGGAUCUCAGAGAAAUAAGAUUUUAGCAAUGUGCUAAGUUGUAACCAAAAUAAGGAAGACUUUUCCUUUUUGGUAAGACUUCAUAGUAAGUCCUUUUUUAUUACAUACAGAGUAAGUAUAACCAGUUUGAUGUUACUGCUUGAUGGUAUUGUAAAUUCCAUAAUUUUCAUUAUGGAAAAGAAGUUCAACUUAAAGAUCUUUGGCAAAUAUAACCACCAUUCUAGAUGUAUCUCGGCUUUACCAGAAAUCUUAUCUCCAUCACUUGUACACAGGAACACUACUAUAAAAGGAAUCAGCCCAACAGAAGAAUUCUUAACACAGCAUUCAGAGCACUGGAUCAACAUAAAGCAUUUUGAUGCUGUUUUAUUUUUGUUACCCUUGACUUUGAAAAAAUGAAAUAAAAUUUUAAAUCUUUCACAGAA